Vombatus ursinus (common wombat) is the source of this 600-nucleotide long non-coding RNA. RefSeq lists it as uncharacterized. The transcript is spliced from 2 exons. NCBI's taxonomy places the organism in Eukaryota, Metazoa, Chordata, Mammalia, Diprotodontia, Vombatidae. The record is from RefSeq and is a predicted model, not a curated record.
UAAUAAGGUCAAAUUUCAUUUUGUCCUCUAUGAUGCAGGGGUCAGGACUACUAAGAGCAUGUGUCACAAUGGACACCUCACAAUGAAAUGUCACAGAGACCUGUCUGUUCAGCACUCGAUGAGGCUUGGGGGAAAGGGUAUAAAUAGCCAAGAGCCACACUGAGCUGGAGUUAACAAACAGCAGCAGCAGCAGCAGGAUCAGUGAAUCUGAACCUAGUAGAGGCUUCAGCAAGAAGGAGUAAUCGGUCAGAACAUCUUCUGGCUCAAAGAGGGAAGGCAAUUUGGUUCAGCUGGAAUCUCAAGCCAUGAAAAUUUGAAAAGGACAAAUAGAUUCCAAGAUUUCUGCAGUGAGGAUAAAGAGAUACUCCACACCAGAAGAUUUCACAAAGGACACUCCACAUCCCGAAGUUUCUCCAAUAUAAAGAAUUUUUGGCUAAAGACCGAGACCAACAAAUUGUUUCUCCAGGGAACAAAUAGAAAACUUUCCUAGGAGGUGCAGAGCAAUUAACAUGUGAAGAAUUUACCAAGAUCAAACUCCUUCUCCAAUGCUGAAUGUUACUGACAUUUUUGUAUAAUAAUAAACUGUUUAUAAAAUCAAAA